This 486-nucleotide ribosomal RNA is filed under the name uncultured bacterium. RNAcentral's name for it is "bacterial SSU rRNA". It matches the Rfam family "Bacterial small subunit ribosomal RNA", at positions 791 to 1274 of the family's 1533-position model. The record is from RNAcentral.
UAGUCCACGCCGUAAACGAUGUGUGCUAGUUGUCAGGCCCAAAGGGUUUGGUGACGGAGAGAAAUCAUUAAGUACACCGCCUGGGGAGUACGGCCGCAAGGUUAAAACUCAAAGGAAUUGACGGGGACCCGCACAAGCGGUGGAGCAUGUUGUUUAAUUCGAAGCAACGCGAAGAACCUUACCCACACUUAACUAUCCUCUUGGGACUCUCAGAGAUGAUUGUCUUCGGUUCGGCCGGGGAGUGAAUAGGUGCUGCAUGGCUGUCGUCAGCUCGUGUCGUGAGAUGUUCGGUUAAGUCCGGUAACGAGCGCAACCCUUAUUGUUAGUUGCCAUCAUUCAGUUGGGCACUCUAACAAGACUGCCGGUGACAAGCCGGAGGAAGGCGGGGACGACGUCAAGUCAUCAUGGCCCUUACGUGUGGGGGCUACAAACGUGCUACAAUGGUAGUGACAGUGGGGCAGCUACCUCGCGAGAGGAUGCUAAUCU